GCAAGUCGAGCGGUAGAAUAUUAAUUGAAGCUUUGGUUGAUUUUAAUAUUUGAGAGCGGCGAACGGGUGAGUAACACGUUGGUAUCUGCCCCCAAGUCAGGGAUAGCCAUUGGAAACGAUGAUUAAUACCGGAUAGUCUCUUCGGAGUAAAAAUUUAUUGCUUGGGGAGGAACCUGCGUUCUAUCAGCUAGUUGGUGAGGUAAUAGCUCACCAAGGCAAUGACGGAUACCUGGUCUGAGAGGAUGAUC
This 248-nucleotide ribosomal RNA is filed under the name uncultured bacterium. RNAcentral describes it as "partial 16S ribosomal RNA". It matches the Rfam family "Bacterial small subunit ribosomal RNA", at positions 57 to 305 of the family's 1533-position model. The record is from RNAcentral.